RNAcentral lists this ribosomal RNA (251 nucleotides) under uncultured bacterium. RNAcentral describes it as "partial 16S ribosomal RNA". It matches the Rfam family "Bacterial small subunit ribosomal RNA", at positions 795 to 1052 of the family's 1533-position model. The record is from RNAcentral.
CCACGCCGUAAACGAUGAGUGCUAGGUAUUGGCAAAAGUCAGUGCCGCAGUUAACACAUUAAGCACUCCGCCUGGGGAGUACGUGCGCAAGCAUGAAACUCAAAGGAAUUGACGGGGACCCGCACAAGCAGCGGAGCAUGUGGUUUAAUUCGAAGCAACGCGAAGAACCUUACCAGGACUUGACAUACUAGUGCCAGGUAUAGAGAUAUACCCUUAUCUUAGAUACACUAAUACAGGUGGUGCAUGGUUGU